ACUCCUGCAAUUAAACUCCAUGCCUUCUCUUUACUGGCUUUGUCCUUACAAAAAGGAUCUGUGGUGUUUUCUUUUUGUAUUACCCC
Sander lucioperca (pikeperch) is the source of this 86-nucleotide long non-coding RNA. RefSeq lists it as uncharacterized. The record is from RefSeq and is a predicted model, not a curated record. The transcript is spliced from 3 exons. Lineage: Eukaryota; Metazoa; Chordata; Actinopteri; Perciformes; Percidae.